RNAcentral lists this ribosomal RNA (422 nucleotides) under uncultured bacterium. RNAcentral's name for it is "partial 16S ribosomal RNA". It matches the Rfam family "Bacterial small subunit ribosomal RNA", at positions 359 to 773 of the family's 1533-position model. The record is from RNAcentral.
GAAUUUUGGACAAUGGGCGAAAGCCUGAUCCAGCAAUGCCGCGUGCAGGAUGAAGGCCUUCGGGUUGUAAACUGCUUUUGUACGGAACGAAAAGCUUUGGGUUAAUACCCUGGAGUCAUGACGGUACCGGAAGCAUAAGCCCCGGCUACAUACUUUCCCGCCGCCGCGGUAAUACGUAGGGUGCAAGCGUUAACCGGAAUUACUGGGCGUAAAGCGUGCGCAGGCGGUUUUGUAAGACAGAGGCGAAAUCCCCGGGCUCAACCUGGGAACUGCCUUUGUGACUGCAAGGCUAGAGUACGGCAGAGGGGGGUGGAAUUCCGCGUGUAGCAGUGAAAUGCGUAGAUAUGCGGAGGAACACCGAUGGCGAAGGCAACCCCCUGGGCCUGUACUGACGCUCAUGCACGAAAGCAUGGGUAGCGAAC